Molecule: long non-coding RNA, 2109 nt
Organism: Mustela erminea (ermine)
Lineage: Eukaryota; Metazoa; Chordata; Mammalia; Carnivora; Mustelidae
Exons: 2
Source: RefSeq, a predicted model, not a curated record
ACCUGAGCUGAAGGCAGAAGCUUAACCCACUGAGCCACCCAGUCCUGGAAAUCAGAAGUCCAAAAUGAAUUUCAGGGGGACUGAAAUCAAGAUGCCAGCCAGGCCCAUUCCUCCUGGAGGCUCCUAGGAGGAAUGUUUCCUUGUCUUCAGCUUCUAGUGUCUGCCUGCAUUCCUUGGCUUGUGUUCCAUUUUCAAAACAUGUCACUUCAGUGUCUGUUCUCACCCUCACCCCACCUUUUCCUCUGGAGUCAGUCUCCCUUGGCCUCCCUCCUUUAAGGACACUGGAGAUAAUGUUGGGUUCAUCCAAAUAAUGCAGGAUCACUUCUCCAUCUCAAGAUCCUCAAGUUUAUGACAUUGGUGAAGUCCUUGCCAUAUUAGAUGACGUUCACAGGUACCAGGGAUGGAGACAUGAAUAUCUUUGAGGGGACAUUUGUAGCCUGCCAUGCAUCCCUUUUUCCUUUUGACCAUGAAUAUUUAUGCAGAUUAUGUUAUCUUUGACUGUACUGCAAAAUCUCUUUGGGAGAGUUGCAAAUUGAAGGAGAAAAUUCCCUCCUACCCCCCCCCCCAUUUUCCUUCAAUUACCAAUAUCCAGGGAUAAAGAACUUCCAGCAUUUUGUGAUUUGUGAUUUUGUGAUUUGUAUCAAAAAUAAAAUUGUGGGGUUGUCAUUUCUACUCCCUUUGCAUUUCAAAAGAUAAUAAUACAUUAAAAAUCAGCACCACAUUUACAUGGUUUAAACAGAUCCAUAGCAGGUAUCUCUGUUCAAGUAUUAAAUCUGUGCAUAAGUGAGUGGUAAUAUUUUUAAAAAAAUGUAUUACACCCUACUCCCGCCCCAGGACUCCAGAGAGGUGCUUAUGCAUGUCUUUCGUUUUUGGAAGUUAGGUCUUAAAUUCCUCUGGAUUUUUCUCCCUGAUGGAGGAAAUGAUGAUGAAUUGAUGAACAGAGCAGUGAAAUGGAAUAAUUACUUGAAUGGCCGGUGGGAGGUUAAGUGUGGAACGCACCACAGCUCCCUGUUCUGCCCUGAUCUGGUGUAAGCUGGAGCUUACAUUCUGUUCAUGGACUCCCCCUCCCUCCUUUCCUGCCACCCCCGCUCCCUCUGUUCCCACCCUCCUCGGUGACCUGGGCCCAUUGGAUUGUGCUGAGGAGGAUUUUAUGCUUCUCAUGUGUCUGUUCUCUAGCUCACCUGGCUCAAGAGGAGAGGGGAGGAGGUGGUGGUAAUUGCUCAGGCACUGAGUACCAGGCACCGUACUAGGACAUUGACAGUGACCCCGUCCAGUGGCAGCUCUCCGUAUUUUAUGCAAGUGAAAGGAGGGAGCAGGAUGAACCACUGGGGUGGGGCUGACUCUUCUUCUGUCCCUCUGGGUGGCUGUUUGCUCCCACGAACUUCCUUUGAUGUAGGACAGCUUUUCUGCCUUCAUCCACCUCCGACCAUGGUGGUAGGACUGGCCCUCUUGGCAUUGAUUGGUUCACACACACGUUCUGUGCAGGACACUUAGCUAUAAAGGGGAACAGAGAAUAGGCCUGUUUCAUGGAGCUUCUGUUCUAGAAAGACAGACAUGAGCAGGGAACCAAGAAACUCAGGAUCACGAAUGCUCAGAAGUGUGCUGCGCGGAAAGGGGGAGGUGCUGGGAGAGAUGCCUGCUUAAAGCUGAAUUUGACAUUGGCCGAGUGGCGCCACCAGCCGUGUGUGUGGGAGCCCACGUGGUUUUACAUCCACAGCUCGCCUGGGACUUCAGUUCUGCCUUUCUGUUCAUGCAUUCUCUCUCCUCGGUUUAUUGCGAGUCCUUGGGGACAGAGGUGAUGCUUCGUCAUUGUCCCUCCAAAGCGGAGUGUGUUUUGUGACCGCAGGAUGAAAUGUUAAGUUCUUGCACCUUCUCCUGGCAUUCUCAUUUGAAGAGCUUUGUUCGAGGAUCAUCCUUCCCACAGUCCCUCACGUGAAAGUAAUCAGCAGUUCACUUUUCGGUUUUGCCAGUAUAUGACUGUCUUGGUCGCGAAGAAGGGGACAAUGGAGGGAAAUGAGCAAUAACCUGAGCAAUUAAACUUGAAAAGGAAUUUGGGGGACGGAUAAUGGAGAACCUGCUACAUGAGGACCUAUGUCAGAUGCUUUGGGA